Ipomoea nil (Japanese morning glory) is the source of this 1762-nucleotide RNA transcript. It is a transcript of the gene named sodium/hydrogen exchanger 6-like, with no coding region annotated. The transcript is spliced from 12 exons. NCBI's taxonomy places the organism in Eukaryota, Viridiplantae, Streptophyta, Magnoliopsida, Solanales, Convolvulaceae. The record is from RefSeq and is a predicted model, not a curated record.
ACACUAGUACAAAAUUGAACAUAGAAGAUUGAUCAUAGACCACCAUUGUUGAAAGAAUGGUUGCCUAAUCUUAGCCCAAAAAUUCGCAGUGGCAAUUUUGUAAAUAAGUGAUCAAUAAUCCGCCACCAUUGUUAACUGUAAUGGUUGUCCAUUGUAUUUUGUAUUUAUUUAAAAAAAAUUGAUAUAUAAUAGGCAACCAUUUCUAAUAGAAAUGGUUACCUUAAAAUAGAACUUGUUUUAUAACAGCCAACCAUUCCUAAUAGAAAUGGUUGCCUAAGAUUAACCCUAGAUCUACAGUGCCCAUAUCAGAUCGAAAUUACCUCUCAAACCACAUACUCCAUCGAUCUCAUACUCUCGCCGUCUCGCCGAUCUACUCCGUUCCGAACGCCGCUGCUCUCGCCCGGCGACCACCGCCACCACGCCGUUGGCGGCGACCAAGCCCACUCUCACCUUGAGUAUGUGGAUCUGAGAUUCAAAGGCAGAAGUAUUUGCCAUCCAUGGCCAAACUUCAAAGUGUGGGUUGUUUGGGUCUGACAGAACCGGACUACGGAAGUGAUGCAAGUGCUUUGAGAACAACCGCAAAGAAGGUUGAAGGAGGUUGGAUCCUUGAAGGCCAAAAGUGUUGGAUUGGAAACAGCACUUUUGCAAAUAUACUCAUUAUUUUUGCUAGAAACACCACUACUAAAAAGAUCAAUGCAAACCGUUCUUUUCAAACUUUGGAGCAAUUGUGACAUUUGCCAUAUUCGGAACAUUUAUUGCUUCAAUGGUUACAGGUGUCUUGGUUUACAUUGGCGGAGUGAUUUUACUCAUAUACAAACUUCCUUUUCUUGAGUGUCUGAAGUUUGGGUCCCUUAUAUCAGCAACCGAUCCUGUCACUGUUCUGUCCAUAUUUCAGGAGCUUGGCACAGAUGUCAACCUUUACGCAUUGGUGUUUGGUGAAUCUGUUUUAAAUGAUGCAAUGGCAAUUUCUCUAUACAGGACAAUGUCAUUAGUGAGAAGCAAUACCUCGUCUGGACAGAACUUUUUUAUGAUCACUGUCCGAUUUAUAGAGACAUUUUUUGGAUCAAUGUCAGCAGGUGUUGGUGUUGGAUUCAUUUCAGCUUUGAUAUCCUUUUGACUUAACGGUUGUUCUUUUUAGAUACAAACUUACAGCUAAUUUUGUGUAGAUAACAGAGAAAGAGUAUCAGUAGCAAGGUGGAGCUAUAUUAGACGACAAGAAAAGGGGUUCAAACUAACUGAAAAGGAACUUAAGAAACAAAAGUUAUUCUUAUCCCAAAAAGGGCCCCAAGAUUUACAAAUCCUCAUCCACAAAAGAGUUCGUCUUGGCUGCAUAUCACCAUACAAAGCUCAGGUCUUUGCCAUCAAACAAAAACUUGGCAAGAAAUACAGCACAGAUGUGGAGAGUGACUUCUCGGUGAAUGUACGAUCUGUAGAUGGGUUUCAAGGCGGAGAAGAAGACGUGAUCAUCAUAUCAACGGUUCGAUCUAAUGGAAGAGGAGCAGUGGGGUUAUUGUCCAACUUCCAGCGCACAAAUGUCGCCCUGACUCAGGCUAGAUACUGCCUUUAAUUUGGGUUUUGGGUAACGGUGCGACCUUGAUCAAUAGUGGUAUGGUUUGGAGGGACAUUGUCGUAGAUUCUAUUACCCGCGGCUGUUACUAUGAUGCCUGCAAUGACAAGGAUUUGGAAAAAGCACUUGCAUAUGUGUCUGAUGAGCUAACAACCAAGUUGUCUGCAAUGAGUGUUGGUGAUAAACCUGGCUUUG